UGGUGGGACCCACGACAAAUGGA
RNAcentral lists this small nuclear RNA (23 nucleotides) under Arabidopsis thaliana (thale cress). Its description in RNAcentral is "snRNA_15875". Lineage: Eukaryota; Viridiplantae; Streptophyta; Magnoliopsida; Brassicales; Brassicaceae. The record is from RNAcentral.